GACGAACGCGGCGGCGUGCCUAAUACAUGCAAGUCGAACGAGAGCGACCGGUGCUUGCACUGGUCAAUCUAGUGGCGAACGGGUGAGUAACACGUGGGUAACCUGCCCAUCAGAGGGGGAUAACAUCCGGAAACGGAUGCUAAAACCGCAUAGGUCUUCGAGCCGCAUGGCUUGAAGAGGAAAAGAGGCGCAAGCUUCUGCUGAUGGAUGGACCCGCGGUGCAUUAGCUAGUUGGUGAGGUAACGGCUCACCAAGGCCGUGAUGCAUAGCCGACCUGAGAGGGUGAUCGGCCACAUUGGGACUGAGACACGGCCCAAACUCCUACGGGAGGCAGCAGUAGGGAAUCUUCCGCAAUGGACGCAAGUCUGACGGAGCAACGCCGCGUGAGUGAAGAAGGUUUUCGGAUCGUAAAACUCUGUUGUUAGAGAAGAACAAGUGCUAGAGUAAACUGUUAGCGCC
RNAcentral lists this ribosomal RNA (459 nucleotides) under Granulicatella adiacens. RNAcentral describes it as "bacterial SSU rRNA". It matches the Rfam family "Bacterial small subunit ribosomal RNA", at positions 28 to 476 of the family's 1533-position model. The record is from RNAcentral. Lineage: Bacteria; Bacillati; Bacillota; Bacilli; Lactobacillales; Carnobacteriaceae.